Molecule: ribosomal RNA, 425 nt
Filed under: uncultured bacterium
Lineage: Bacteria
Description: partial 16S ribosomal RNA
Rfam family: Bacterial small subunit ribosomal RNA
Source: RNAcentral
GUUAGGAAUAUUGGACAAUGGGCGCAAGCCUGAUCCAGCCAUGCCGCGUGAACGAUGAAGGCCUUCGGGUUGUAAAGUUCUUUAGCCGAUGAUUAUAAUGACUGUAGUCGGAAAAUAAGCCCCGGCUAACUUCGUGUCAGCAGCCGCGGUAAUACGAAGGGGGCGAGCGUUAUUCGGAAUCACUGGGCGUAAAGCGUGCGUAGGCGGUCUCGUAAGUUAGGAGUGAAAGCCCAGGGCUCAACCUUGGAAUUGCUCUUAAAACUGCAAGGCUCGAAUCUCGGAGAGGAUAGCGGAAUUUACAGUGUAGCAGUGAAAUGCGUAGAUAUUGGAAGGAACACCAGUGGCGUAAGCGGCUAUCUGGACGAGUAUUGACGCUGAGGCACGAAAGCGUGGGGAUCAAACAGGAUUAGAAACCCUUGUAGUCC